AACGAACGCUGGCGGCAGGCUUAACACAUGCAAGUCGAGCGCCCCGCAAGGGGAGCGGCAGACGGGUGAGUAACGCGUGGGAACGUACCUUUUGGUUCGGAACAACUCCGGGAAACUGGAGCUAAUACCGGAUAAGCCCUAACGGGGAAAGAUUUAUCGCCGAAAGAUCGGCCCGCGUCUGAUUAGCUAGUUGGUGAGGUAACGGCUCACCAAGGCGACGAUCAGUAGCUGGUCUGAGAGGAUGAUCAGCCACACUGGGACUGAGACACGGCCCAGACUCCUAUGGGAGGCAGCAGUGGGGAAUAUUGGACAAUGGGCGCAAGCCUGAUCCAGCCAUGCCGCGUGAGUGAUGAAGGCCUUAGGGUUGUAAAGCUCUUUUGUCCGGGAAGAUAAUGACUGUACCGGAAGAAUAAGCCCCGGCUAACUUCGUG
Molecule: ribosomal RNA, 431 nt
Filed under: uncultured bacterium
Lineage: Bacteria
Description: partial 16S ribosomal RNA
Rfam family: Bacterial small subunit ribosomal RNA
Source: RNAcentral